CCGCCCAAGAAAGGCCCUCAGGAGGGGGAUUUUAGCUACUGGGUUGAUGAUGCUUAUAAGGAUUUUCACGAGUCUGAGGCAAAAAAAAAAAAUUUGGUUCCCAGUCUCCUAAGUUUCCCAAAUUUUCUCAAGAAAUCCAUCCCAAAGAAGGAAAGGACAAGAUUCAAGAGGCUUUAAUCCUAAUUCUAAAAAGCUGACCCAAAGUGCACUUAAAAGGCCCAACACGCGAGCCUAAGGAAAAACUAAAGAGAGGCCAACCUUUGAAGGCCCAAGAGAAGACAAGCUCCAGGCCUUUUGGCCAAGGAGGCUCGUGGCUAAGAGGUGUGGCGUGUGCGGGCAAGCACAUGU
RNAcentral lists this long non-coding RNA (348 nucleotides) under Carica papaya (papaya). RNAcentral's name for it is "long non-coding RNA (CPAP_LNC008972)". The record is from RNAcentral. Lineage: Eukaryota; Viridiplantae; Streptophyta; Magnoliopsida; Brassicales; Caricaceae.